Neopsephotus bourkii (Bourke's parrot) is the source of this 2702-nucleotide long non-coding RNA. RefSeq lists it as uncharacterized. The record is from RefSeq and is a predicted model, not a curated record. The transcript has 2 exons. Lineage: Eukaryota; Metazoa; Chordata; Aves; Psittaciformes; Psittacidae.
AAAGCCCUACAUAGCAGGUAUAGCCUAGGCCUAUGACACGUGGAAAAUCGUGGAAGAGCUCCUUGGGUUCCUAGAAUGGUCUUCAGUGCCAAAGCACCCAAAGCAAUGUUUCAAGUUUUAAGCCUAAUUUAGAGGUUUAGCGUUUGCCAAACCUAAGUAAUUGUAGAGGGCAGGGGGAGAAGGGGUGGUACAUAGGAGCAUACCAAAUCUGCACUACCCAUUAGGACUCCUCCUGCUUAGGUUCCUGCGCUACCCUACCCUCAAAUACCAGUCUUGCCAAUUUUUAGCUUCCUCUCAGCAGAGCUGUUAUGCCACAGCCCAAGCAUACCAACAAAGAGACCUCCAUGCCUUUAAACAGUGCUACUUUUCCAGGCAUGGAUUUUCCCUGCCCUCAGCUCCCAGCCAGACUGGCUCUCUGGUGCAGGAUUAAUUUGGCGGAAGGGCACCUUCAAUACACUCCCAUUGGUUUUGCUUACCAUAAUGGAGAACAACAGCAUAAUGGUCAAGCAUGGGGAGAAAGGGAGCAUACAAGUGCCUGCAUGAGUGAAUUCAUGCAUUUACACUCUUUCAUUUUCUCCAGAUGUGGUGCUUAGGGUUUGUAACAUUGCAGUAAGCUGUGUAGCUCUGUCGAUGUUUUUGCAGCGUCCUGUGGGAGGAUUCAUCUGUCCCUACCCCAUAUCCUGGCAGAAGUAGCAUUGGUAUGGCAAAUCAUGAAAGCAAACUGGCUCUGGCUUCACAUCUGUGGUUCCAUCAGUGGCAAGGCAUUGAUCCAGUGGCUCAUUCUCUCAUGUGUGUUAAGUUAUGCAACAAGCCUGCUUGUUUGCAACUCUUGUUUUAAAUUGUCUGGGAUUAAGUCUAUUCCACGCUCCAGAUAGGUCCGUUUUCAGCUGUCUGACCCAGGCAACCCUUUGUAUAUCUGCUGCAUCCCAAGACAUCCUGCUCUCAGCUUUGGGGCUAUGCAAGUCAGCACAUUCCCUUUCUCCUGGCACAUUUCUGUACAAGCCUGCCUCUUCUCAGCUUUCUAAGCCAAUUUCAGCGAUGUCAGCGUGUGCUACAUUCCACACCUUUCUAGUCCCAGUUUCUAUCUAAACUCCAUGAAUCGAAGAACAGCACAAGACAAUCUGUUCACAGUUCCUGAUCCAGUCAGAAUAUACCCAUGUGAAAUACUUUUGGUCCAGCUGACACGAUUGCAGAGGAGAAGGAAUUAGGAUCAAGCAUCACUGUCUUAUUCCAUCUUUCUGGGCUGCCAUGGAAGAGAAAUAAUGGUACUAAAAGGGAAUCACUAUGGACUAAAGGAAGCAAGAAUCCUAACAAGGAAAAUGCCUGCAUAACUAGUAUAUAAGCAGUAAUUAGUACAUAAGAUGGUACCAAGUUCAAGACACACAAAAACUAUCAAAAGAAAGGAAAGCAUUAGUAAUUGUGUUAUUAAUUACCUAGUGAAAAAGAUUAAUAAAGAUUAAAAUUUCAACUGUAUUUCGUGAAAAACCUAGGAAGAUGAAACAACGGUGCUUUCAUGAUUCACUCACUGAAAAGGGAGCUUUUGAGAUUUAACAGGAAGCAGUCGGACUGUCAACAUGAAAGGAGCGAUUGAUCAGAGGAGAGUGCAGAGGAGCUCCCGUUACAGAGCAAGCGCAGGAAAUCUGUAUGAUGGGCAAUAAUUGUGACGACGGAGAGCCCAGACCAAAUGUUAUAGGGGGCUUCUUAAGUGAUGAGAAGGAUUAAGAGCUUACUGGUAUGAGUUAAAAGGAGGCAAACUAGUAGUAAUAGAAGUUAGGGGGGAAAAGGGGAGGCGUUUGAAGGAAGGAGAGAAUUUACAUUAAUACAAAGAUCAAAAUUCUUUGCUUUGGGUUCAGGGAAAAGGCCAAAUGGAGAAAACAAACUGACUAGAGAGAUGAAAGUUACUAGUUUUGAAAAUGGAGUACAGAUUAUUAGUGUCUUCUGAUAGCAGUGAAUGACAGAAAUCAGUGUGCUGUUGACAGCAGUGUAGAAUACGGUGGCAUCAGUAUAUCUGACAGAUGAGGAAAGCUAUUAUCUUUGUACUUUCUUCUUGAGAAUCCCAAAUUACUUUGUGCUGCAAUUCUUUAGAGGCAUGGAGAAAGUUCCUGGUCUUGAAAGAAGAUACCAGUAGGCCAAAUAUAACUGCUCAUGUUCAUAAUAGCUAGAGGAGAAAGGUUAGCAAGGGAUGGAACAAGAUGGUGAAAUCUGGCUGAAAUAGGAACAGUAUGUUCAGAAAGGCACUGGCCGGUCAUUUGCUGAGUGAUGAGAUCAUGGAAAAAACAUACAGAAUGAAAGAGCAUCAGGUAGGUGAGGUCAGGAGCGGUUCUGGGAGAUAAGCAAGGAAUCAUUCCCAGCAAAGGCAAGACUGAACUGACUGUACUGAGUGCAAUCAGACUGAGACAAAAAAAAAAAAACAACAAACAAAAACCGGAAGGAAAAUUCAGAUCAAACCACACUUCAGUUCUGCUGAUUUGCUUCGUCUAGAAGUUUACUUAAUAUUUCAUAUAGAAAUCAAGAGUUUGCAUUGAUUCCACUCCUCCAUAGUCAGUUUCAAUAAUGUAACCUCAGGACUCUGACAGCCAUUUUAAAGCAAAAGUAGGAAACUUCCUGGAAAUCAGAGAUCUUGCUAUCAACACACCUGGGACAAUCCAUCCAGAUGUGUACAGAACAUACACAAAAAAAAUAAAGUGAAGUAACACCAUCAA